CGAGCGAACAGACGAGGAGCUUGCUUCUCUGACGUUAGCGGCGGACGGGUGAGUAACACGUGGAUAACCUACCUAUAAGACUGGGAUAACUUCGGGAAACCGGAGCUAAUACCGGAUAAUAUAUUGAACCGCAUGGUUCAAUAGUGAAAGACGGUUUUGCUGUCACUUAUAGAUGGAUCCGCGCCGCAUUAGCUAGUUGGUAAGGUAACGGCUUACCAAGGCAACGAUGCGUAGCCGACCUGAGAGGGUGAUCGGCCACACUGGAACUGAGACACGGUCCAGACUCCUACGGGAGGCAGCAGUAGGGAAUCUUCCGCAAUGGGCGAAAGCCUGACGGAGCAACGCCGCGUGAGUGAUGAAGGUCUUCGGAUCGUAAAACUCUGUUAUUAGGGAAGAACAAAUGUGUAAGUAACUAUGCACGUCUUGACGGUACCUAAUCAGAAAGCCACGGCUAACUACGUGCCAGCAGCCGCGGUAAUACGUAGGUGGCAAGCGUUAUCCGGAAUUAUUGGGCGUAAAGCGCGCGUAGGCGGUUUUUUAAGUCUGAUGUGAAAGCCCACGGCUCAACCGUGGAGGGUCAUUGGAAACUGGAAAACUUGAGUGCAGAAGAGGAAAGUGGAAUUCCAUGUGUAGUGGUGAAAUGCGCAGAGAUAUGGAGGAACACCAGUGGCGAAGGCGACUUUCUGGUCUGUA
This 693-nucleotide ribosomal RNA is filed under the name uncultured Staphylococcus sp. Its description in RNAcentral is "bacterial SSU rRNA". It matches the Rfam family "Bacterial small subunit ribosomal RNA", at positions 63 to 738 of the family's 1533-position model. The record is from RNAcentral. Lineage: Bacteria; Bacillati; Bacillota; Bacilli; Caryophanales; Staphylococcaceae.